This 264-nucleotide ribosomal RNA is filed under the name uncultured archaeon. RNAcentral's name for it is "partial 16S ribosomal RNA". It matches the Rfam family "Archaeal small subunit ribosomal RNA", at positions 748 to 1009 of the family's 1478-position model. The record is from RNAcentral.
CAGCCGUAAAACUAUAGCGCGUUAGGUGUAUCGGUGACCACGAGUCACCGAGGUGCCGAAGGGAAACCGUGAAACGUGCCGCCUGAGAAGUACGGUCGCAAGGCUGAAACUUAAAGGAAUUGGCGGGGGAGCACAACAACGGGUGGAGCCUGCGGUUUAAUUGGGACUCAACGCCGGACAACUCACCGGGAACGACAGCAAUAUGUAGGCCAGGCUGAAGACCUUGCCUGAAUCGCUGAGAGGAGGUGCAUGGCGUAGACGUCU